RNAcentral lists this ribosomal RNA (252 nucleotides) under uncultured bacterium. Its description in RNAcentral is "partial 16S ribosomal RNA". It matches the Rfam family "Bacterial small subunit ribosomal RNA", at positions 524 to 775 of the family's 1533-position model. The record is from RNAcentral.
GACGAACCGUGCGAACGUUGUUCGGAUUCACUGGGCUUAAAGGGCGCGUAGGCGGAUUGGCAAGUCCGGGGUGAAAUCUUUCAGCUUAACUGGAAAAGUGCCUUGGAUACUGCCAGUCUCGAGGGAGGUAGGGGUCUGCGGAACUUCUGGUGGAGCGGUGAAAUGCGUAGAUAUCAGAAGGAACGCCGGUGGCGAAAGCGGCGGACUGGACCUCUUCUGACGCUGAGGCGCGAAAGCUAGGGGAGCAAACGG